AGAUUGAACGCUGGCGGCAUGCUUUACACAUGCAAGUCGAACGGGCUGAGGGGCAACUCCUCAGUCAGUGGCGAACGGGUGAGUAAUGCAUCGGAACGUGUCCCGUAGUGGGGGAUAACCCGGCGAAAGCCGGACUAAUACCGCAUAUGCUCUACGGAGGAAAGCGGGGGACCUGGAAAGGGCCUCGCGCUAGUGGGAGGCGGCCGAUGUCCGAUUAGCUUUGUUGGGUGGGUAAUGGCCUACCAAGGCGACGAUCGGUAGCUGGUCUGGAGAGGAUGAUCAGCCACACUGGGACUGAGACACGGCCCAGACUCCACGGGAGGCAGCAGUACGGGGUAAUUUUGGAACAAGUGGGGACAACCCGUGAAUCCAGCCAUCGCCCGCGUGGACGGGAAGAACGGGUCCGUUUCGGUUAGUAACCGUUCGUUUUAGGUACGGAAAGAAAGG
Molecule: ribosomal RNA, 447 nt
Filed under: uncultured soil bacterium
Lineage: Bacteria
Description: bacterial SSU rRNA
Rfam family: Bacterial small subunit ribosomal RNA
Source: RNAcentral